ACGUACAUUCUUUGAAUGUAAACAAAUUUUCUUAUACAUAUUAAUGACAGAAUAAAAAUGGAAGACAACAAAAAUACAAAUCGUCAAAUCUGUGGAAAUAUAUUUAUAAACAUAAAAACAAUUAAAAACGAUAAUAAAGUUUUUACAUUUCAUUGCGCUUUUUGCAGUACGGACUGCGACCAAUUACAAAUUUUUUCUGAACACCUUGAAGAACACUUGCAUUAUUUUGAAGAACAUGAGAUGUGCCCAAAUCUCCUAUCUGAACCAGAAGAAAUUAAACAAAGAAUUCAUAUGCAUGUAUUUGAUGAUGCCUAUAAUAGAAGUAUAAAUACUGCCACAAGAUCGGAAGUUUAUGAAGAUCCAUUAGAGACAGGAAAGACAGAAAACAUGUGUGCUACGGAGGGAUUUAUUCCAGUAAAAGUUAAAAAUGAAUGUGAAGAUAGUGACAAUGAAGAAGUAGAUGAAGAAGAUUGUAAUACAAAUUAUAUUCAUGAAGCAGACGUAAUUAUUGAAGAUUCUCCUGAAUAUGCAAACAAAUUAUAUUCUUACAUAUUUAAGGACCUUAGUUCCGAUGAAUUAUCUGUAGAUUCAAAUGAUGAAGCAUUUGAUGAAGCUCAUAAUGAAAGUAUUAAUACUGAUACAAGCUCGGAAUUUUUUAAAGAUCACUUGAAGACGGAGAAGGACAUGUGUGCUAAAGAAGAAUUUGUUCCAAUAGCUGUUAAAAAUGAAAGUGAAUUAAGUGCCAAUGAAGAGGAAAGUUGUGAUACUAAUAAAAUGGCACAGGAAAACGGUACAAAUUAUUUGCAAGGGGAAGACCUAAUUAUUGAAGAAUCCGUUGAAAAUUCAGACAUACUAUAUGCUUACAUAUUUAAGGACCUUAGUUGCGAUGAACUUUCUGAUGAUUCAAACCAUGCCUAUUUUAAUUCGAAACAUGAUGUAAAUACAUCCUCUAACAAUUUGAAGAAACGAGGACGGACGAUUUUUAUAAGAAUUUUGCCAAGUUUAAUACAGUUAUAUAAAAAAUAUGAACUUUUAUGGCAAGUAGAUAAUAUCGCAUUCGGUAUAAAAGAAAAAAUAAAUGAUGUCUAUACCAAAAUAUUUGAAGAGUUAAAAUUAGAGCACGAUGUUAACAUCACAUUAGAAGAUAUAAGCUUUCAUAUAAACUAUAUAAACGAUUUAUUCUCCAAAGAUAAAAAUAACGAAUUAAAGUGUAAAAUGGAAGAAAAGUUGUUUGUACCUGAAUGUGAAUACUAUGCGGAAUUGUCAUUUCUUAGCAAUAGUCAAGGUCCAUUUUUAUGUCUGAUCUGUAAUAAAAUGCUUUUAAAAUAUGAUUCCUAUUGCCAACAUAUGGCUCAACACAGCGGAACACAGCCAUUUAGAUGUCCAUCUUGUGAAGUAACAUUUAAAUGUUAUCACACAUUCCUUACACAUAAGAAACGUCAUUUGGGUAUAUACAGUUUCCACUGCGAUAUAUGCGGAAAGGGCUAUUCAUUGAAAAAUGACUUAGAAUGGCAUAAAACUUCUCAUACCGGUGAUAAACCUUAUUUGUGUCAAAUAUGUGGUAGAGGAUUUAGGGCACGUCAUGGCUAUGUCAAUCAUAUAAGGCGUCAUGAGCAACGCUUUAGGUACGAGUGUCACAUAUGUAAAAGAGGAUUCAAUCUACUACAUGCUCUUAACAGUCAUGUUAAAUCUCAUCUCAAUAUACGUGAUAUAAUAUGCGAAAUCUGUGGCAAAGGCUUUGUACAUAAACAAUCCUUACGGAAACACGAACUUAUACAUGGCGAUGUAAAAAAAUAUAAGUGCAAUGAAUGUGGAAAAGCGUUUUUCCAGGCGUGCGGCUUACGAUCCCAUCGAAAAAAUCAUCAUACUUAAUCAAGCACGGUUUCCCGUUAUCAUAUAGGACUUAAAUUUUACACUAAAUAUACGUAGUAUUUUUAAUGCCGGUUCACUGUUCAAUGAACAUACUUCAUACAAAUGUAAACAAAGUAAUUAGUUUUUUCAUUUACGAAAUUAUAAAAAAGGAGCCAACAAAAAUCCAGAACAUUACAUCUGUGGAAAUAUAUUUAUAAACAUAAAAACUAUAAGAAUAAAGUUUUUACAUUUCAUUGUGCUUUUUGUAAUACGGACUGUGAUCAAUUACAACAGUUCUCUAAACAUCUUGAAGAACAUUUGAAUUGUUUUGGAGAUGAACCAGAACAUGAACGGUGUUCAAAUACACCAUUUCAACCAGAAGAAAUUAAAGAUGAAGAAGUAGAUAUGGAAGAAAUGGAGGAAUUUUUGCCAAUAGAUGGAAAUGAAAGUGCUAAUAAAGAAGAAAAUUUAAAUUCGCCAGUUUCCAGAAAAGCAGGAAACAAAUGCUGUCUACCGCAUUGUCGUAGAUCCAAAAGAAGUUUUCCUAACAUAAAACUUUUUCGUUUUCCAAGUGGUGAUACACCUUUGUUUAAACAGUGGGCAGAAAUAUGCAACAUUGAUAAGCAGUUUAUGGAAAAGACGCCUCGAUUAUAUUUAUGCGAAAGACACUUUUCGUUAGAAUGUAUUGGGAAAAGGCAUUUGAAGCGAGGUGCCGUUCCAAGUAUAGACCUAGCUGAGAGAGACGAUAUCAUGGAAGAGAAGAUAGCGAAGACUGUUUGGGAAAUGAUUUAUCUCUUCCUAGCUCUCCACCACAAAAGCAUAGGAAAUCAUAAUCGCUAUUAUAGUAUAGACCUAGCUGAGAGAGACGAUAUCAUGGAAGAGAAGAUAGCGAAGACUGUUUGGGAAAUGAUUUAUCUCUUCCUAGCUCUCCACCACAAAAGCAUAGGAAAUCAAAAUCGCUAUUACCGUGAUGUACAGGUUGCAAUAAUAUAAAAAUUUAAUUACCUGUGAAUUACAUCUUCAUGGUUUUCGUAAUGAAAAUCAUUGGAAUGCAGAAUGUCAGAGAGGAUCCACAUAAUUAUAGCAUCACACUACAUUGCAUAAUUGCUGCCAAAAAGGAGAAAUAAAUAUUUAAUUUGUAAAAAUAUUUAUUGAUUGAUGCAAAUCGCUUUCAAUGAAUAAAAUAAGUAACCUUAUUUCUGGAUAUUGCGUAUUGGAUCAUUGUCUAUAUGCAGACGAUUUGUUGAUAUCUUUUGUAAGAAACUCAAUUUCCCACUUAAAAAAUUAGAAAAUAACCUAUCAGCUUCUUUCACCACUUUAAAAUUUUCAUAGUCAACGUAUUUAUAUGUAUUUAUGUAUAUAAUUCUGAGAAGAAGUCCAUAAAUCUAAGACAAAGAUCGAAUACUAAAUUAUGUAAAUAAAAUCGAAAUAAAUAUUUUUUUGCACUCUU
Lucilia sericata (common green bottle fly) is the source of this 3301-nucleotide RNA transcript. It is a transcript of the gene named zinc finger protein 571-like, with no coding region annotated. Lineage: Eukaryota; Metazoa; Arthropoda; Insecta; Diptera; Calliphoridae. The record is from RefSeq and is a predicted model, not a curated record. The transcript is spliced from 5 exons.